UCAGAAAGCCAAUCUCAGUUCGGAUUGUAGGCUGCAACUCGCCUACAUGAAGUUGGAAUCGCUAGUAAUCGCGAAUCAGAAUGUCGCGGUGAAUACGUUCCCGGGUCUUGUACACACCGCCCGUCACACCACGAGAGUUUACAACACCCGAAGUCAGUGGCCUAACCGCAAGGAGGGAGCUGCCUAAGGUGGGGUAGAUGAUUGGGGUGAAGUCGUAACAAGGUAAC
This 227-nucleotide ribosomal RNA is filed under the name uncultured bacterium. Its description in RNAcentral is "partial 16S ribosomal RNA". It matches the Rfam family "Bacterial small subunit ribosomal RNA", at positions 1274 to 1500 of the family's 1533-position model. The record is from RNAcentral.